Molecule: long non-coding RNA, 703 nt
Organism: Cebus imitator (Panamanian white-faced capuchin)
Lineage: Eukaryota; Metazoa; Chordata; Mammalia; Primates; Cebidae
Exons: 2
Source: RefSeq, a predicted model, not a curated record
UUUCCUCUCUCCCACAAGCACAACGCUUGUUCAGACAUCCAUACGCACUACUCCCCAAAUCCUGUGCUUAACAGGUCUCUCCUGAGCACACAGGAGCGCCGGGGCAAGCGUCGCCUGGGACUACGAAGCGAAUGCCACACCAGGCCUGGCCCUGGGAGCCCGCCUCCGGUGGGGGACGCAGGUGCUGAAGACAUAACCACAUGACCAAACUAUCUGACACCAACGUGUACUCACUUCAGUCUCUCACCCGGGACCACGCAGCCAGCAGCUCCUCCCUGCCAGGGAUCAUGGCUUAGCGAGGCCCACCACAGCGACUCGGAGCUGCCUGGCUCUGCAGGAGGAGGCCCUUGCAGGGAUAGUGGUGGCAACUGCACUGCAAUGAACAAAACUGGUUUCUAAGUGUUGCUAAUAAUUCCCAGGAUCACGCACGGCUCUAGAAAGCACCACAAUAACUAUUCCUUCAGAACGUCUUGGCAGAGGAGACACGGGGUGACUCUGCGCCUUUCACCCAGGGGGAAUCAUGUCUGGGCUGAAUACAAGGACAAAGGAGACAGAAGCCUGGGGGGUGUCGGCUGGGGCAGUAGAGGUCAGAGCCAAGGGCCUGAAGGUCAUAUCAAGGAGUCUGAAUUUUGUUGUAUACAACACAGAGGGGUGUGGGAGAUUGGUAAGCGGAGAAGAGAACAGUAAGAGACGGUGUACCAGA